GGCUACUGCUAUUGGGAUUCGACUAAGCCAUGCGAGUCUAUGGACUUCGGUCCAUGGCGGACGGCUCAGUAACACGUGGCUAACCUACCCUCAGGUGGGGCAUAACCUCGGGAAACUGAGGAUAAUACCCCAUAGGAAAAGAGGUUUGGAAUAAUCCUUUUCUGAAAGGAUAUCCGCCUGAGGAUGGGGCUGCGUCCGAUUAGGUAGUUGGUGGGGUAAUGGCCCACCAAGCCUACGAUCGGUACGGGCCUUGAGAGAGGGAGCCCGGAGAUGGGGACUGAGACACGGCCCCAGGCCCUACGGGGCGCAGCAGGCGCGAAACCUCCACAAUGCACGAAAGUGCGAUGGGGGAAUCCCAAGUGCCUAUGCACAGCAUAGGCUUUUCCCAAGUCUAAACAACUUGGGGAAUAAGGGCUGGGCAAGUCCGGUGCCAGCAGCCGCGGUAACACCGGCGGCCCGAGUGGUGGCCACUCUUAUUGGGCCUAAAGCGUCCGUAGCCGGUUCAGUAAGUCUCUGUUUAAAUCCUACGGCUUAACCGUAGGGCUGGCAGAGAUACUGCUGGACUUGGGACCGGGAGAGGAAGAGGGUACUUCGGGGGUAGCGGUGAAAUGCGUUGAUCCCUGAGGGACCACCUAUGGCGAAGGCACUCUUCUGGAACGGGUCCGACGGUGAGGGACGAAAGCCAGGGGAGCGAACCGGAUUAGAUACCCGGGUAGUCCUGGCCGUAAACUUUGCGAACUAGGUGUCAUCUGGACCUCGGGUCCAGGUGGUGCCGAAGGGAAGCCAUUAAGUUCGCCGCCUGGGGAGUACGGUCGCAAGACUGAAACUUAAAGGAAUUGGCGGGGGGGCACCACAACCGGGUGGAGCCUGCGGUUU
Molecule: ribosomal RNA, 876 nt
Filed under: uncultured archaeon
Lineage: Archaea
Description: bacterial SSU rRNA
Rfam family: Archaeal small subunit ribosomal RNA
Source: RNAcentral